CCAAAAGAUAAUCUUUCCAAACACCAUGUGCACAUUUUGAGGGAAUUUUGAGUAGGUCCCCACCGCUUUGGGGGGUGAUUUUCUUGUUAUUCCCUUUAAAUCAUUACACACUAUUAACAAUGUUGAACGUGCUCUGUGCCGCAAGGCCACUAAUAUAUA
RNAcentral lists this unclassified non-coding RNA (159 nucleotides) under uncultured Clavulinaceae. RNAcentral describes it as "sequence contains ITS1". Lineage: Eukaryota; Fungi; Basidiomycota; Agaricomycetes; Cantharellales; Hydnaceae. The record is from RNAcentral.